CGAUAAUUUGCCCUUAGGUCUGGGAUAGCUUUGGGAAACUGAAGGUAAACCCGGAUAGAAGAUAGAUACUGGAAUGUUCUUUCUUUGAAAGGUCAACGCCUAAGGAUAAGUCGGCGGCUGAUUAGGUAGUUGGUGAGGUAAAGGCUCACCAAGCCUCGGAUCAGUAGGGGGGAUGAGAGUCCUAGCCUCGAGAAGGGCACUGAGAUACUGGCCCUAGCCCUAAGGGGUGCAGCAGGCGCGAAACCUUUACAAUGCACGAAAGUGUGAUAAGGGAAUUCCGAGUGCUUUGCUUUCGGGUAAAGCUUUUGUUAAGAGUAAAAAUCUUAGUGAAUAAGUGGUGGGUAAGACGGGUGCCAGCCGCCGCGGUAACACCUGCGCCACGAGUGGCAAUCACAUUUAUUUGGUUUAAAGCGUUCGUAGCCGGUUUAAUCAGUUCUUUGUGAAAUUGUUAGGCUUAACCUAACAACGUGCAAGGAAUACUAUUAAACUAGGAACUGGGAGGGGGUAGGAGUACUUUAGGGGGAGCGGUAAAAUGUUGUAAUCCUUAAAGGACUACCUGUGGCGAAGGCGCCUACCCAGAACAGCUUCGACGGUGAGGAACGAAGGCUAGGGGAGCAAAACGGAUUAGAUACCCGAGUAGUCCUAGCAGUAAACGCUGCGAGCUAGGUGUUGCAUAUUCUCCGAGAUUAUGCGGUGCCUAACCGAAGGUGUUAAGCUCGCCACCUGGGAAGUACGGUCGCAAGGCUGAAACUUAA
Molecule: ribosomal RNA, 755 nt
Filed under: uncultured archaeon
Lineage: Archaea
Description: bacterial SSU rRNA
Rfam family: Archaeal small subunit ribosomal RNA
Source: RNAcentral